Molecule: long non-coding RNA, 4451 nt
Filed under: Brassica napus (rape)
Lineage: Eukaryota; Viridiplantae; Streptophyta; Magnoliopsida; Brassicales; Brassicaceae
Description: long non-coding RNA (BNAP_LNC005675)
Source: RNAcentral
UGGUGAUGAGAUGGUGGCUCCGCCUUCAAGUUAUCUCCUCAUGUCGGUCAUGUUCACCAUCUAACGGAUCCGAUACAUAACGUCACCAUCAUGGACGCGGCGGCACAGAACGAAGCGUGUGGUGGCAUGGCUACUACUCCGGUGGUGAAGAACGGACAUGAGCGAUGGCGGAAGGGAGAGCACGUGUGUGGAGAUGGAGGAUUGAUAAAAAAAGAGGUGCAAUGGCGGCUCAUGCUUACUUAUAUAUAUAUACUAGGUAUGAUAACACACACACGUAUAGGUUAGGGCAAAUGGGUGGAGUACGGGAUUAACAAUAAUUAAAUAAUUAGAAGAAAACCAAACCAUCUGGUUUAGUCUAAAGGAAUAAUUCAAUUAGACCAAUAGAGCGGGUUACGGUCGUUACAAUUCUUCCCCACUUAAUCGGAAUUCGUCCUCGAAUUCAAAUCUUUAGCCGACUGUCCAAUAACAUCCUAAAAGAAAAUGAUAGUCAGUAUUCUUUGGAUCUCGGUCUCCCGGAUCUUCUCCUGGAUUCGUCUCUCUGUCCUAACAAACAGUGAUCAACAUAGUCAUAAUUCCCUGUACCACUUUCACUUGCCGAUCAAAAAUUUCAACUGGCUGAAUAGGUGUAAACAUUUUUUUUUAAGGUUGUUCUUGAGCAUUUCUAUUUGCUUCAACGUCCCUUAAACCAUUGGUUGCUAUACAUUAGAGGGCUUUCCCACUUUGGUCUAUCAUAGCAUGUGUGCGAAUGAUCUUCCAUAAAGAGGCUUCAUAAGGUGAUAUCUGAAUGCUCGAGUAAUAACUGUUACUAUACAUGAUCUAUUUCAAUGGUAGAUACUUUCCUGAAUUUUUGUUUUUUCCUCGCGAGCUAAGCACAAGUCCUGGACAUGUCCUCUAGAUUUUAGCUUAGCGAUACGGUCCAUGAUUGCUCAUAUAUUAUUCUUCAUGAAACUUGACUCCGGUAGUCCAAUAAGUAAACCCAUAAUCAACAUAUCUCAUUUCCAAUCUGGAAAAAGUAAAUUGUGUAAAAAUCCCUUAAAUAGCUGAUGUACUGUUUUAACCAUCUGACAAGUCUGACAUGGAGAUACAAUGUAGCUACAUCUUUUUUUUUUUUUUUUUUNNNNNNNNNNNNNAAUAAAUUUUGUUACAUUUUUUUUUUUUUUUUUUUUUUUCACUCUAGGCCAAUGAUAGUAACACUUCAUAUAUAUGUACCUCUUACGUGUCGGCCACUCUGAACUUAUAAUAAUCUUUUCUGAAUAUGCAGCAACUUCUGCUCUGAAACACGUGACCCAAAAAUCCAAUUUUUUUUUCCAGAAACUACACCUACUCCGCUAGCAACCAAUUUAUGCUCUUCAAGCUUACCUAACACAAUCCAUGACUGCUCAACAUGCUCCUCUCUGCUCCAAGAAUAAAUCAGGAUGUCGUCGAUGAAUACAAUUGCGCACUUAUCCAAGUGUUUACAAAAACGUCAUUCAUAAGCUUCACGAAUGCUAACGGUGCCUUCGUUGAGCUAAGUGGUAUCAUUACAACUCAUAAUAUCCAUAACAUAUACAAAAUCCACAUCCGUAAAUACUCCUCAGCUAUAGCAAUCUGAUGGUAUACUGAUGCCAAGUCAAUCUUCAAGAACCAUGAACCUCCAUGCAACUAAUACAACAAAUCAUCAAUACUUAUCUUUAAUGGUCACUUGUUCAAACCUCUGCAGUCAAUAAAAAUUCUGAAAUCCCAUCCUUCUCUAUCGCAACAACACUGGUGGUCCCCAUAGUGAAAUACUCAGUCUGAUAAAAUCCUUAUCCGAUAAGUCUUCCAUCUGCUCUUUCAGCUCGGUCAUCUUUGCUGCCGCUAAUCGAUAUAGAGAUCGUGAAACUGGUGAUGUCCCUGACUCAACCCCGAUCGUAAGAACGACUCCUCUUGCUGGUGAUAGCCCUUCCAAAGGCCUCAAAUACAUCCACAUACUUUGUAAUAUCUGAAUGAUCCUGCAGCUCAUACUGUCUAUCAUCCUUAGCCAUCAAAAUGUUCGCCGAAAAUCCAUCUGCUCUUAUAUCCAAUAACUCCUCAGCAUGUAGCAUGUAGACAAUACAAACUCUCAUCGGAUCUAGGAAUAAGAACUAUUGCCCUCAGGCAAAACAACACUACUUGAUGUCAUGACAGCCAAUCAUUCUCAAGAAUGACAUCGCAUAAACUCAGCUCCAUCUCUGACGAAUCUCCGAAUAAAUCAAUCCCACGAGCAUAACCGGUACACUACGAUGAAUAUAAAUAGCUCCCACAUCCCAUGUCAGCUGUUUGAACUAACACGUCUUUGAAAUGAACAACAAUGCCAAAAACUCGGAAACAAAAUCAAGCAUAACUCCAAUAUCCUUACAAUGCAAGCUGCCGCACUCCCAAUCCAAAAGCGAUCCCCACGAGUUUAUAAACCGAACAUACCUCCAAAAUAGUCAACAUACUCGUACACAAAAACAAUACAUGCCAACCAAUGGCUCACACCUCAUACCACAUAACCUCCUGUGACAAAACUCGUGGAACGAUUGCUUGAAGUAGGGUAGAAGCAAAAACGUCACAUAUCCACUCCUGGAUAAUCUCAGAAUCAUGACCAAAGGAACUGAUAACACUCCUGAGACAAUUGACGAACUGAGACAUCACACAUCUGCAGUUGAACAUCUGUGUAGAACCCUGUUAGUCGAAGGAUGAAUGACGAUGAUUUUACUCAUCGUCAUAGAAAGAGACAAUUGAGUUAGUAAUUACUGGACCGAAUGGUGCUAAAAGAACUUCGCAAACAUUUUUUUUUUUUAUAUAUAUAUAUAUAAAUUAGUUUAUACUUUAAAAAUAAAUAAAAAAACUUCCAAAAAUUUUUUUUUUUUAUAUAUAUAUAUAUAAAUUAGUUUAUACUUUAAAAAUAAAAAGUAUAAAAUCGAAUCCCCUAAUCGCCAUCCCGGGUCGAGGCCGGGACGGAACCCCGCUCUGAUACCAAAUUGUGACUCCCGUCACCUCCAAUCCGGAGAACAGCGGCCACCAACAAUAUCUCGUACAAUAAAAGCCCAUAUACCCAAUUACACUCACCCAAAGCCCAAAUAAAAAUCCGAAUAAAAAGUCCAGUAGCACCAAUCCGUCCAAAUAUUAUUAAUCGACCUCGAAGCUUUGGCACAACAGGUCGACUAAGCUGUGUCGCAACAUGCACCACACCCAAUGUACUGGUCUCCGACCGACACACAGAAUUACGUCUCCAUGGUCGGCUAACACUCCAAUCACAACAAUAUACUAUAUAUAUAUACAUAUAUAUAUAUAUAUUGCCAAUUAUAAAUGAACAAGAAUUGUUGAACCAUCUAACAACCUAGUUCCGGUUUAAGCAAAGAACCUAAAACUAAUCAAACAAUGACAGACUCGAUUUCACAUAGACGGAACACAUUAGAAAUAAAUUAUACUUAUUCGAGGUCUUAAGCCGUGUAAAAGAAGUUCGGGAAAAGAUCCUCACCUUAGCCAAGCUUAGAGAUAAAGAAAUCAACCAAGAAGUAAAACAGGUUGACUUGUGGAACAAGGAAACGUCUUAAUAUAUAAUGCCUUUCGCCUUGGCUUGACAAAGUGGCACCUCCGGCCAAUUGGAACAUAAAACAUUAUUAUACAGAGGAAAAAAGUUGAUUAGAUUAUGGUCUAUACUUUAUAGAACUUGACGUAAGAAUCAAGUAUUUAGGUAGACAACUCUAACCUUGGUUUAGCUUGACCAAAGAGCACGUGUUGAGAUCUUUAUGUAACGUGAACGUCACAUGGUAUUACGUACAUCAGAUGAUCAUAUAUACGAGUUGCAACACGAGAUGAAACGGACACAAACAUGAAGCGCUUGAUGGCAUUGAUGACAUGGCUAUGACGACGUCAACGGGAAGACCAAACCGGAGCUGAUGACUAGAGAUCAAUCAAAGGUGGAGGAGAAUAAGCUUGCUACACAAGAAAGUGUGAGACCAUGAUCUCACUUGCUCGGAUCUCGACAAUGAUGGCUUGCGAUAACUCCAUUGACGAGAACAUGGCUCUCAGGUGGUGGCUUGUGACUCAUGCCGGCGCAAAUUAGUGGUUGACGGUGGUGAUGAGAUGGUGGCUCCGCCUUCAAGUUAUCUCCUCAUCUCGGUCAUGUUCACCAUCUAACGGAUCCGAUACAUAACUUCACCAUCAUGGACGCGGCGGCACAGAACGAAGCGUGUGGUGGCAUGGCUACUACUCCGGUGGUGAAGAACGGACAUAAGCGAUGAGAUGCGGCGGCUUCGACGUUAAUCAUCUCUUCCUCCAUGCCGCUAAUGAUCGUCAAUCAUAGAAGGAGAACAUGAGCGAUGGCGGAAGGGAGAGCACGUGUGUGGAGAUGGAGGAUUGAUAAAAAAGAGGUGCAAUGGCGGCUCAUGCUUACUUAUAUAUAUACUAGGUAUGAUAACACACACACGUAUAGGUUAGGGCAAAUGGGUGGAGUACGGGAUUAA